RNAcentral lists this transfer RNA (68 nucleotides) under Rattus norvegicus (Norway rat). It matches the Rfam family "tRNA". From Rfam's summary of the family: Transfer RNA (tRNA) molecules are approximately 80 nucleotides in length. Their secondary structure includes four short double-helical elements and three loops (D, anti-codon, and T loops). Lineage: Eukaryota; Metazoa; Chordata; Mammalia; Rodentia; Muridae. The record is from Rfam by way of RNAcentral.
GGGGAUUUAGCUCAGUGGUAGAGCGCUUGCCUAGGAAGCGCAAGAACCUGGGUUCGUCCCCAGCUCCG